RNAcentral lists this long non-coding RNA (4390 nucleotides) under Sus scrofa (pig). RNAcentral's name for it is "lncRNA (ENSSSCG00025071377.1)". Lineage: Eukaryota; Metazoa; Chordata; Mammalia; Artiodactyla; Suidae. The record is from RNAcentral.
GAGCUGCAGCUGCCAGCCUACACCACAGCCAGAGCAAUGCCAGAUCGGAGCUGCAUCUGUGACCUACACCUCCGCUUAUGGCUAAGUUGGAUCCUUAACCCACUGAGCAAGGCCAGUGAUCGAACCCGCAUCCUCAUGGACACUAUGUCAGGUUCUUAACCCACUGAGCCACAAUAGGAACUCUUAAAAAAUUAUAAAAUAAAAUAAAAACUUCUAUAAAAAUAAGAGAAUUCUGUUGUCAGCUGUCUCCCCUUAUUUCACCUAAAAAAGCAGCUAAGGGAGUUCCCUCGUGGUUCAGUGGGUUAAGGAUCAGGCAUUGUCACUGCUCUAGCUCAGGUCAUUGCUGUGGGGCAGGGUCCAUCCCUGGCCCAGGAACUUCCACAUGCUGUGGGUGUGGCCAAAAUACAAAAAUAAAACAAAACAAACACACCUAAAAAAGCAGCUGUCUGUGUAAGGGGGACAUUUGGCAGUAUUUGCUAAGCUUGUUUACUCAAGGUCUGACCCAAAAACACAUACUGAGAGGAAAGUGGCCUCAGAGCCUAUCUUGGCUGCCUCCUCUAAUCCUUGUCUUCUUGGGCCUUAAGUACGUUCACCCUGGGGUCCCAACAGAGUAGAAAUGGAGAGAACAAGCAGAGAGGGACAGGGAGUAACUUGAUAAAUGUUUAUUAAAUAAACUUCACUUUUCGUCCAGACAGUGAUGAAUCCUCAAGUAGAAUCUCAGCUUAUUCUCCCCUAAAGGGUCUUUCUCUAAAGCUGAAAGAUGAAUCUUGAGUACAUCAGAUGGAAUGUUCCCCAGGUGUCUAGCUUCUGACUUAUCCUUUCACCUCCUGUAAUUCUGGGACCUCCCAGCUGAACGCUGUGUUUUCCCCAAACAGCAGAGAGAUGAAUAGACCCACAGGCAACAGAGAGGGCAGCUGCUGCUUAACGGAGAAACUGGCCUCCUCCCUGCUCUGGGAUCCCACAGCCCUUUGUUGUCACAGAUUUGGAGCAGGAGUUUCCCAAGCACUGAAAAUGCAUCACAUCUCAGUGAUCCCAAUCACGCAAUAAACCUGCAAUCUCAAGAGCUUGCCUUUAUCUAAGGGAAAAAAUGUGGAGAGAAAUCCCAGCUUCCCCCUUCCUUCCCCAGAGUCUCAGAAAUCAGCAAAUUCUGCCUCUUUCCACUUGAUUAUCAUUGAUUUUAAGUCACUGUUUAGCAGAGACAACUGAACCCCACACGCAAACCUUGAACUAUCCUUAGCCCUUCCUCUGGAGCUGGAAAUGCAUUUUACUUUGCUCUUCCUCACACUACAGCCUGCAGAUAGAAGCUGGGGCUUCACUUCAAGGAAGAGCAGGAAAUUCAGGGGGAUUCUUCAGAAAGCCCUGCAGCAGAACAGCCAAGCAGAAUGCAGGGUCCCGAUGAAUAACACAACUGCAGGAGGAGGGGACUCUGGUUCUCUGACUGGGCACAUCAUGAAGCUUCCAGUGGUCCUCUGUGCUGACACAAUUGCUCAUAACAGGAAAGCAAUGGUUCUGUUAAUUUCCUUAAUUUCAACCCGCCUGCUUUCCUAAGUCACUAAAGCCAUAGAUUAUUCUCCUCUUUACCUGGAAAUUCCUAUGGCCCCUUCCCUGUACUUCUCUGAAUUCCCUGACUUGUGGUUCCUCUCAGCUCCAGAACCCGGAACAGACCACUGUGCUAGCAACACGUUUAAUCUUAUUUUUUAAUAUUAUUAAAUGUAUUUUUGUUAGUGUAUAGUUGAUUUACAGCAUUGAGUCAAUUUCUGCUGUACAGCAUAGUGACCAAGUCAUACACACACACACACACACACACAAACACACACACACACACACACAUAUUCUUUUUCUCAUAUUAUCUUCCAUUAUGGUCUACCCUAAGAGAUUGGAUAUAGUUUCCUGUUCUGUACAGUAGGACUUCAUUGCUUAACCAUUAUAAAUGUAAUAGUUUGCAUCUGCUAACCGCAAACUCCUUGUACAUCCCACUCCCUCUUCUGCCCCCUUGGCAACCACAAGUCCCUUCUCUAUGUCCAUGAGUCUGUUUCCAUUUUGUAGAUAGGUUCAUUUGUGCCAUAUCUGAGAUUCUACCACUAUGAAAAAGGGUAUGGAGGUUCUUCAGAAAACUAAAUAUAGACACAUGUAAUUUUCAACAUUCUAGUUACUAUGUUAAAAAAGUAAAGAGUUAAGUGAACCUCAUUUUAAUAUUACAUUUUAUUCAAUGCAAUAUAUUUAAAAUAGUAUCAAUUCAGUGUGGAACCAGUACCUUUCAAAUACUAAUGAGAUUUUUGUUUCAUUCUAUGUCUUCAGAAUACAGUGUCUCUCCUACACUCAGAGCAUAUCUCAAUUCAGACUGGCCAUGUUUCAAGCACACAGGAGCCACAUGUGGUUGAUGGAUGCUGAAUUAGAGAGUGCAGCCAAUUUCUGUGUUGAUAUGUUCAUCUGCCCUGUUAGCAUGCUGGUCCUUAAGACACAGGACCAUUAAGAGUGACUGACUCAUAGCAGCUGCAUAAUAACUCGUUGUGGAAUGAUUGACUGGAUUAAUAAAUCAAUGUCACUACUGACCACGGGUUAAAAACAGUUCUGUUGAAGGAAGGCAGGAAAGGGGGAUGUGUCUGGAGUUAGGUAUUUUGAGUUAGAAGCUGCUAUGAGAUGCUCAGAUUAUGAUGCUCAGAUAUAAGUCAUAGAUAGAGAUUGGAGCUCAGGGAGAGAACAAGAUGACAUAUGAAGGUGACGGAUGUAUAGUUUGUGGGGGCCCUCCUUGCCAUGGAAAAAAGAAACAAAUUCACCUAAUUCACAUGAAAAUGCUGGGCAGCAUUUCUAAGGAAAAUCACAAUAGGCACUGUAAAAAAAUCAUCCUCAUCUUCAUCCUCAUCCUCAUUAUCACCCUCAUCAUCCCAGUCUGCAAAUGCAAUAACUACUUCCCUCUCAUGUUAGUGACUUGGAGCAAUUUCUGGACAAGAUGGGGAUGUAGGGGAGAUCCAUAUGCAAAGUUCUCUGCAGUGGGAGUCUCCCCCUCCACGGAGUCCUCCCUCUCCCACUCACCCCACUCCUCCAAGUGAUCAAUACUCUCAAAUAGAAAAAGAAGUCUCUUGGCAAACUCAACUCUUUCUUUGGUGCAUAUACAUCACUCAGGGCUCUUGUUUAAAUGUAGGUUCUGACUCAAGUGAGUCUGGGGCAGAGCCUGAGAUUCUACUUUUCUAACAUGUCCAAGUGAUGCUGAUGCUGCGGGUCCAUGGACCACACUUUGAGGAGCCAGGCAAAAGGGAUUAGAGACUUUGCCCAGACUUGGAUUUUGAUUUCUAUAAAGAGAAUAUCAGAAAGAUGGCACUUUAGCCCAUGGAAAUACAAGAAAUUUCAGGGAUGGGAUGCGACCCAAAAAACUCCCCUGAAUCCUACAAACAACCCCCCAAAAGCAGUUUUGCUUAUGGGUAAGGCCAUCUAAGUCAUUGGCGGUAAUUGUGAUUCAGUACAAAUAAUGUUGGAAUUGAGGCUGAAUUUUAAUUCCAUCUACUACACUUACUAGCUACGUGAUUUUAUGAGUUUCACUUCACUUCUCUGAAGCUAAGUUUCCUUAUCUGUAAGAUAUAUAUAAUAUAGCAUAGCUCACAAGGAUUCUCUGAAUUCAAUUUUUUUAAAAAGCCUGUGUGACAUUGCCUGACACAUGCUAGAGGCUCAACAAAUGCUUAUUAAAUCUCAACCAAAAUAUUUUCCAGUUACCCGUGUGAGGCUAGCAUUAAAAUAAAGCUGGUGGGAUAAAAAAAGAAUUUUUCAAAUGAGAUAUGUCGGCUUUUAGGUUGAUUAAGGCUCAGUGGACAGGAUAUUUAUCGUCAACUAAAUGUAUCCCCCUCUACCAAAGCAAUGCAAAUACAUUCCCAGCAAAUGUCUUCAGGGAAAGGGCAUAAUUUCAUCUUUACCUAUUUUUAUAUUUCUUUACAGUUGCCAUGAGAGCAUUUUAAUAACCUCCAUGGAGUUGAAAGUGAUGCAGGUAAUUGCCAUAAGUAAUUUAAGGGCUAUUAAAGCUAACAAACCUCUCCUGUGAAAUACCUUGUUAAGCGGUGAUCAGCAGAAAACAUGUAAGAAUCGGGUGCAGUGUAAAUUCAAGCCCUUUCUCCAGUUAAGCUGAAGUGAAAAUGUAAUUACAUUACACAUAAGAGGGGUGCAGAUAUUAAAGCUCUUCCUGCUCCAGGCUGGGGUUGGCUCCAGCUAAGAUGCCCUGCUAUUCUAAUGAGAUCCACUUCCUUCAGAAGAGAGGGUGUCAUCUCUGCUGUCACUCCCCAUCGCCUGAACUGGCAGCUAAUUUUCCAUGCACACACAUCUUAAGAUUAUAAAUCUGAGCGUUUCUUGGUGCGGAGUCCUCAGGGAUCUGGUUCCAGCCUUGGAUUUGGCCAAUCACUCACUG